This 329-nucleotide ribosomal RNA is filed under the name Alpheus cf. lobidens UF 19966. Its description in RNAcentral is "partial large subunit ribosomal RNA". The stretch from base 139 to 329 matches the Rfam family "Bacterial large subunit ribosomal RNA", at positions 2087 to 2623 of the family's 2925-position model. The record is from RNAcentral. Lineage: Eukaryota; Metazoa; Arthropoda; Malacostraca; Decapoda; Alpheidae.
ACCCUAUAAAAUUUGAUGAUUUAGUUAAUCUCUGCGAUUUAAGGAUAAUGAGGGAUUUAAUCUGGUUUAUUGUGCUGGGGCGGCAGGAAUAUAAUUUAGUAACUGUUCUUAGGUAUAAAAUAGUUUUAAUUAGAUAGUGACCCUGAAAUUUCGGGUUGUAAGACUAAGUUACUUUAGGGAUAACAGCGUUAUCUCUCUUGAGAGUUCAUAUCGACAGAGAUAUUUGCGACCUCGAUGUUGAAUUAAAGUUUUCUCCGGGAGUAGAAGUUCGGAUGAGUGGGUCUGUUCGACCUUUAAAAUUUUACAUGAUUUGAGUUCAAACCGGUGUG